Physcomitrium patens is the source of this 2081-nucleotide non-coding RNA. Lineage: Eukaryota; Viridiplantae; Streptophyta; Bryopsida; Funariales; Funariaceae. The record is from RefSeq and is a predicted model, not a curated record.
UCUCUGACUGUGCCGAUGAUUACAUAGAACGUGAUGAGGCAUAGUACGUGAUGAGGCAAGCUGCUGGUGCGGAAACCAGUGCGCAUAUUUGUUUCUCUUCGCAGCUCAUAUUUGUGUUUUGUUUGCACCGUGUAUUUUUCUUCGCAGCCCAUAUUUCCAUUGCGCAUAUAGUGUUCAAUCCCAUAUUUGUUUUUCUUUGCAGUUGGAUGAUUGCGGGUUCAGCACGGGCUCUUGCUUUCCAGCUGAUCACAUCAAUGACCUGCACUGGUAUUAUUAGUUGAACUUAGUUGUAAUCAAGGAGAAUGAGCGUGUCUAGUGGGCUGAAUCUAGAAGCUAAUGAUGGAGCUCGACGACGGCGAACUCAGUGGUUUGAUGGCCGCAGGAAAUGAAGGUGUGAAAGACAGCGGAGUCUAGGUCCACGUGCUUGGUGCAGAAACAGUACCGUGUGGAGGUCAAUCUUUGGCCGCAUCUGGAGUUGCAAGAAUUGCUUCCGAGAUGUUGGCAUUCUCUCUGUUACGAUGCACACGGUUCGUCGCUGCUUGCGGCGGCUCCCCAGUCGCGGUGCUCACCGGAAGCGCCUCUUUGUGUCUGCUCAUAACCAUCGCCGCCACUGGGUGCCCCUCGAUGCAACCCCCUCUUCGGUUGUCCCCGCCUUCAUGACCAUUAUCUGCUCCGCCGUUGAACCGCUCACUAGGAACAGCCUCGGUAUUCUUGCCUAUCAUUCGAGUCAUCUGAAGAAGAAAAAAGAAAAAAGAAAAAAACAUUUUACUAACUAACUGCUUCCCCGUGAUCAAGUUGAAAUGAACAGGCUUGCGAGUCACUGAUUAUGAGAUUUUUACCUCAAUCUCACGUUGAUACCAUUGUGGUCGCAAUGAAGAGCGAUUCUGUGGUUGCAGCCCCAAAGGCGAGCGUGGAAGUUUCGAAGGUUGAGGGCAUGGAAGUCACAGAGGGCAAGGAUGAGUUGGCUUGCAGGUGAUCUCUGCAAGCUACGAGCGAGCAGCUUCCAUCGCUGCCGGGAUCACGAGAUGCACGGAGUCUGCCACCAUUUCUGCAAUCUUGUCACCCCCAGGUCACACUUUCAGUCCCAACUUUGGUGUUUCACAAACCAGGAAUUGUGUAUCUGGCAAUCCCCUUGUCUGCGCGGGUGUCUGUGAUUUUCAAGGGUCUUGUUAAGAUUCCAACAAUGCUGUGUCUAUUUCCCCUCGUUGGGAAGUUGGGGUGCGGGUUGAGCUGGUUGGAACAUAUCAGAGCCAAUCUGCGACGGUGUUUCCAUCUGCUGAUGUGACCUAAUUGCUGGAGAAUGGCGGUGAGUCGCCGAAUGUCAACGAGGUACCCAAUCGCAAGGAAAGGAGUUCCAGCACAAAAUUUAUCCGUGAAUGGUUGGUACAUGCGACGUUGUCGAGGAACUAAAAAAAGCGAUCACCAGAAGGAAAGAAUGUUGGCCGCUCUAUUGACCACCCUGAGCAGAUCCAGUAACCUAGAUUCAGCACCGCGUGCUGAGAGAUUGGAGCUGAGGUCCGACAACAAACUUUCGCUCUCGACGGACAAAGCGUUCCGGUGUGGGCUCCUAGGAAUUGGUCCUCACUGACCGACAUAAGUUUGUUCGCUGGUCUGCCGGCAAAUUUAUUCUUUAAAAUGUCUUUAACAACCUGGUCCUCCUCACUUGUGCGAGCUGGAAAUAUAUCCACCUGGAUAUUAGAAUCCCAAUUUAUUUUAUGGAUUCCCAAUGGGCACCAGCCUUGAAUGUUGUUCCUUUUGAACACCCUGACUUACUGAGUAGAAAUUGGCUCCAUUCUUGUUCAAUCAAACUUGGUUUCCGCAACAGUAGUUUCUUGUGUAAUUAGUCAUAUUUGAUCUCAAUACUACAUGAAUGCAAUUGACAUUCAUUGCCUCUCCAACCCACUGCCAUUGUCUUUAAUAUUAAAUCUUAUGUUAUUUAUACUGAUCUUUGUUUUACCAAACUUUUUGCUUGUCUGCUACUUAGAGGCAGUGGGCAAGGUAGAACCAAGACUGAUACUUUUUAUCCAUGUGCCAAGUUACCAAGGUACUAGCUAAGCACAUUUCUUGCUAAAGCAUUGUUA